CCUACGGGUGGCUGCAGUAAGGAAUAUUGGUCAAUGCCCGCAAGGGUGAACCAGCCAUUCCGCGUGGAGGAUGAAGGCCCUAUGGGUUGUAAACUUCUUUUAGAUGGGAAGAAAAUGCUAGAUGUAUCUGGUACUGACGGUACCAUCAGAAUAAGCACCGGCUAACUCCGUGCCAGCAGCCGCGGUAAUACGGAGGGUGCGAGCGUUAUCCGGAAUUACUGGGUUUAAAGGGUGCGUAGGCGGAUGAUUAAGUCUAAGGUGAAAGUUUGUCGCUU
Molecule: ribosomal RNA, 275 nt
Filed under: uncultured bacterium
Lineage: Bacteria
Description: partial 16S ribosomal RNA
Rfam family: Bacterial small subunit ribosomal RNA
Source: RNAcentral